Molecule: ribosomal RNA, 406 nt
Filed under: uncultured bacterium
Lineage: Bacteria
Description: partial 16S ribosomal RNA
Rfam family: Bacterial small subunit ribosomal RNA
Source: RNAcentral
AUUGAACGCUGGCGGCAGGCCUAACACAUGCAAGUCGAGCGAGCGGCGGACGGGUGAGUAAUGUGUGGGAAACUGCCUGAUGGAGGGGGGUAAAUCCUGGAAACGGUGGCUAAUACCGCAUACCAUCAGAUGUGCCCAGAUGGGAUUAGAUCGUGGGGGGGGUAACGGCUCACCUAGGCGACGAUCCCUCGCUGGUCUGAGAGGAUGACCAGCCACACUGGAACUGAGACACGGUCCAGACUCCUACGGGAGGCAGCAGUGGGGAAUAUUGGACAAGGGGCGCAAGCCUGAUGCAGCCAUGCCGCGUGUGUGAAGAAGGCCUUCGGGUUGUAAAGCACUUUCAGCGGGGAGGCGUUACCCGCAGAAGAAGCACCGGCUAACUCCGUGCCAGCAGCCGCGGUAAUUC